GAACAAGCAAAACAAAAGUUUAAUUCUUGAAUGUUGAAAUCGUAUGAUUAAAAAAAAAAAAAAGGUUGUGGGGGCCUGGUGAACUGUACGAGGCUCCUGUUGGGACUUUUUGUCCUUCACAGGCCUGACCAUCAAAAGUGACAUUAACCUUCUAGAGAAAAUAAGCCCCGGGAGGUACCAACCUAAGGACCUGAGCGUUGCCUCUUAGGCCUUCACAUGUCCUCACCUGCGUUAGGGCUUGUCACGCAGCGGCGGCUGUUAGUUACUUGUCAGGGACAAAACAACAUUGGGCAGGUUCAGGAAUUAUUCACCAUGGAAUGAAAAGUAGAGAAGUAUAAUAAGAAGAGUUGGCCCUUUCCCGAGCGCUUACUGUGUGCACUGAGCAGGCACUUUCCUGGGGACCACGCAGAGCAGCUUCAGUCCUCUAAAGUAAGUACCGCAUGAUUCCCCAAUUUUAUGGAAGAGGAACUUUCUCCUAUCGUGUAAUACUAGAGCUUUGCACUGAACCGUUUUGCAGAUGAGGAACCUGAGGGCCUGAGGGUUCCUGGGAGGGUCACACGGUCGGUGAAGGAGGUGAGGUUGGAACCCAGCUCUCCAACCCCCGGGCAGGUUUUCUGCUCCCGGAGCGAGAGGGCCAAGGCUGCCGAGGCCAAAUACACAGCGCAGCGCGGCUGAAGCCUUCCUGACCUCACCUGGUACCUGAACGAUGACCCUGAAGGCAAAGAAAAGAAGGUUGAGAGCAAAUAGAAGUAGAUUUGUCCCACUGUGGGAAGAGGAGAGAAUUUGCACUGAUAGCUCCAGUAAGUUGGAUGAGUAACAUCUAGAGAAACUCAUUAUUGCUCAAGCAACUGGCAAAUCUGAGGAUGCAUAUGAAAGUCAAGUAAACGAAAGGAUUCCUAGAGAAAAAAAUGGAAGUGUUUUUAACCUUAAUGGUAAAAUGUUUUUGUCAGUAACUUAUAUCCAAUUGGAUUCCAACAUGUUAUUGAAUUUUCCGAAUAAAUAAAAGUUUUAUGGUUCAUUUAAAAAAAUUUAUGUUUCUUUCCAUCAUUGAAAUCUCUGUCCUGGAGUCUGUACAUUAACUUGUCACUAGUCAUUUUAUGGUCUUGAAUGUCACUAAACUAUAAUGUGAUUAAAUAUACACUAUUGCAAAACAUUUUUUAUGUUAUAAAAAUUUAUAUUGAAGUCUUGUAAUCAAAGACUUUGGUAAAUCUGUGAGAGUAAUUUUAAUUUUAUAUUUUAGAUGUAAAAUGUCUUAGUUUACAUUUUAAUUGUCAUUCAUAUUGUUGACCAUUAUUUGUUCUUGAUAAAGGUACAACUUGCUUUUCUGGGGUUUUGCAUUACCAUUAAUUCUAUGGUUUGGUGCCAUAGUUCAGGCUCCAGACUCUGGAUCCGAACUCUAUGUCACUUGACUUUGUGACCUUGGGCAAGUUACUUGACUCCUCUGUGUUUAAAUUUCCUAAUCUGCAGAAUUGAGAUACUAGUGAUAAUACAUACCUCAUAGAAUUAUUGGGGAGAUUAAGUGAACUGAUAGAUUUAAAGUGUGUAGAGCAGUGUUUGGCAUGCAGAGAUUAUUAUAAGGUUUAAUUAUUAUUACUUAACUAUUGCUGAAGUUUACUCCAACUCUGCUCAUAUUACUUGCUUAUUAUGUAUUUAAGGAUGUAUCAAAUGAUUCUGCAAGUCAGUAGGAAUAGGACACUUCAUGAAGAAGAGGAAAGGUUAGGGCUUAGAAGCCAUGCAGUGUAGAUAGGGGAGAGGAAGGAGCAGGGCUUUAGUUGUUAGACACACCUGGAUUAAACAAGAUUCUUACUAGUUAUGUAAAUUGGCAACUCACUAAAAUGAAAUCUUUUGCAAAAUGAAGACAAUACAUUUUGAAAUCUUGUAUAAAUGACAUAAUGUCUGUAAAGCACUGGGAAAUGAUGCAAUUUUUUGAAACCUCCUCUCCAUUUUUUAAAGCAGAAAAAAAAUAGUGGAUCUUACAUAUAAUUUUUAACUUUACUUUUUAAAUUAACACUACAUUACAAGCAUAUUUCCAUGUCAUUAAAUAUUUGAUUACAUAAGAAUAUUUAAAAGUUAACAGUUGUUUAUUUUAUUUAACCAGUUCCUAUUUCUGAAUAUUUAUGCUGUUUCCAAUAUUCUCUAAUAUUGGCG
This 2148-nucleotide long non-coding RNA is filed under the name Canis lupus familiaris (dog). RNAcentral describes it as "lncRNA (ENSCAFG00845006906.1)". The record is from RNAcentral. Lineage: Eukaryota; Metazoa; Chordata; Mammalia; Carnivora; Canidae.